Molecule: long non-coding RNA, 476 nt
Filed under: Vigna radiata
Lineage: Eukaryota; Viridiplantae; Streptophyta; Magnoliopsida; Fabales; Fabaceae
Description: long non-coding RNA (VRAD_LNC005341)
Source: RNAcentral
UAAACAAAGUUGAUUUUAAAGCUGCCGAGGAAACUACAGCAACUCUAGAGGCUUUGAAAAUUGCCUUUGCUCAAAUUAGAAUCGGUUCCAAACUAGAAGCAUUAUUGCUGAAGAAAAAAUUUGGGCAAUGGAGACUCUCCUGAAGUUCAUGCUCAAAAGAAAACAUAAAAAUAAGGCAAUGAAAAAGGGACUUGGGUUUAGACCCAUUUUCAUUUCUGGCAAUAAAAGGUUUGGGCACUGGGCUCAUUUCGGUUUUGGCACCCCUACAAUUUCACAUACGCUACUCUAUCUUCAUUUGGGCUCGAACGAAUACGGACUGCACAUAUUCCUGGUUUCACAUUUCUGCACCCUUAUUCUUAUCGUGCUUUUGUUAUUUUUAUUUCAUGCUCUUAUUUCUUUAGUAUUCGUUUGAUUAUUGCGUUGUUUCAUUUAUUUUGUGCACCCCUUGUAUCAUAAUAUCCAUCCCCUUAACUUUU